CUCUCUCUAUAGUAUUUCCUAUUUAUACAUACUCUUCAUCUAAUCUAAUACAGCUGUCAUAUUAACCAACUAACUUCAACAACUUCCAGCUUGUUGCUUCUGUUAAUCAGCUUCGUGCCCUUCUUGCAUUUGUUUGUAGUUAAUGACUGAUUAGCCCUUCAUAUGCCACUGCUCACAACAAUCGGCUUCAAAGAAACCUUGGCCAAAGCUGGUGCACGGCUCCUUUGGGAAUGCUAGUGUGGAUGAUAAAUCCUUUGGCUCCUUAAGAACUUGUUUCAAAUUAGCUAUAUCAGGUUUAAAGGAUAUCGGUUUUGAUCUUCCUCAUCAACUCAGCUCCUCCGAUGGCUAGGGUAAUGAGGUGCUGAGUCCUUUUAUUCCAACUAAUCCUCUGAAGUUGGCGAGUGUUUCUCACUCUGUUGCACCUGAAAAUCUGUUGUAUAUGUCGAGUGGAUCUGCUAGUGUGGUUCCUG
Molecule: long non-coding RNA, 470 nt
Filed under: Panax ginseng (ginseng)
Lineage: Eukaryota; Viridiplantae; Streptophyta; Magnoliopsida; Apiales; Araliaceae
Description: long non-coding RNA (PGIN_LNC001709)
Source: RNAcentral